AGAGUGAACGCUGGCGGCAGGCCUAACACAUGCAAGUCGAACGGCAGCACAGCCCUAGCAAUAGGGUGGGUGGCGAGUGGCGGACGGGUGAGGAAUACAUCGGAAUCUACCUUGUCGUGGGGGGAUAACGUAGGGAAACUUACGCUAAUACCGCAUACGAACUAUGGUUGAAAGCGGCGGACCGCAAGGCGUCGCGCGAUUCGGAUGAGCCGAUGUCCGAUUAGCUAGUUGGCGGGGUAAAGGCCCACCAAGGCGACGAUCGGUAGCUGGUCUGACGAGAUGAUCAGCCACACUGGAACUGAGACACGGUCCAGACUCACGGGAGGCAGCAGUGGAAUAUUGGACAAUGGGACGCAAGCCUGACUCCGAGCCAGUCGCCGCGUGUGUAGAAGA
RNAcentral lists this ribosomal RNA (393 nucleotides) under uncultured soil bacterium. Its description in RNAcentral is "bacterial SSU rRNA". It matches the Rfam family "Bacterial small subunit ribosomal RNA", at positions 26 to 411 of the family's 1533-position model. The record is from RNAcentral.